This is a non-coding RNA of Ciona savignyi (Pacific transparent sea squirt), 72 nucleotides long. The record is from Rfam. NCBI's taxonomy places the organism in Eukaryota, Metazoa, Chordata, Ascidiacea, Phlebobranchia, Cionidae.
GGCGCCAUGGCUUAGUAGUAAAGCGCCUGUCUAGUGAACAGGAGAUCCUGGGUUCGAUCCCCAGUGGUGCCU